RNAcentral lists this ribosomal RNA (468 nucleotides) under uncultured bacterium. Its description in RNAcentral is "partial 16S ribosomal RNA". It matches the Rfam family "Bacterial small subunit ribosomal RNA", at positions 28 to 507 of the family's 1533-position model. The record is from RNAcentral.
GACGAACGCUGGCGGCGUGCUUAACACAUGCAAGUCGAACGGAAAGGCCCUGCUUUUGUGGGGUGCUCGAGUGGCGAACGGGUGAGUAACACGUAAGUAACCUGCCAUUGACUUUGGGAUAACUUCAGGAAACUGGGGCUAAUACCGGAUAGGAGCUACUGCUGCAUGGUGGGGGUUGGAAAGUUUCGGCGGUUGGGGAUGGACUCGCGGCUUAUCAGCUUGUUGGUGGGGUAGUGUCUUACCAAGGCUUUGACGGGUAGCCGGCCUGAGAGGGUGACCGGCCACAUUGGGACUGAGAUACGGCCCAGACUCCUACGGGAGGCAGCAGUGGGGAAUAUUGCACAAUGGGCGGAAGCCUGAUGCAGCAACGCCGCGUGCGGGAUGACGGCCUUCGGGUUGUAAACCGCUUUCGCCUGUGACGAAGCGUGAGUGACGGUAAUGGGUAAAGAAGCACCGGCUAACUACGUG